ACUUAUUCUCCUUACUUGCGGUAAGUCUUAUAUGUUUGUCAUUAAAACAUAUAAUUAAUAUGAAAUUUUUUUUACUAAAUGUAAAUUCAUUUAAUUAAGUUGUGUUGGAUAAAAAAAAAUCGAUCAAUUAAUGCAGAUAUGAUGGAACAAACUGAGGGAUGGGGCUGUGAUCCUGCCGAAUGUGAUUUGAAAUGUAUUGCUGCAGGUUAUCCGCGUGGUGGUCAAUGCAUUAAUAAAAUUAGAUGCGUCUGCAAGAAAUCCAUUGUGGGGGUAAUGAAAGAUCAUAUGCAAGGGGAGCAUUUGUAAAUAGUUCCGUUUAUUAUUAGCACAUGAGUGUUCGAGUAGAGAUCCUUUCAUUUUUCAAAACAAUUUGAUGGUCUUAAUUACUAGUAUAGUUUUAGCUGUGAUCACUAUAUCUUAGCUACUAUGUCUUUGUGUUCUAGUUUUCUGAUUAGUAAGGAGUGGUAUAUACCCCNNNNNNNNNNNNNNNGGCUUUGAGCUUGCUGCGCCAAUUAUUAUGAUACUUUAGUUCUGCAUUUGUGCUGUAUUUUUAAUCAAAAUGUAAUGAAAUAGCAC
RNAcentral lists this long non-coding RNA (576 nucleotides) under Trifolium pratense (red clover). RNAcentral's name for it is "long non-coding RNA (TPRA_LNC013987)". Lineage: Eukaryota; Viridiplantae; Streptophyta; Magnoliopsida; Fabales; Fabaceae. The record is from RNAcentral.